UAGAGUUUGAUCCUGGCUCAAGAUGAACUUUUGCGGCGCGCCUAACACAUGCAAGUCGAACGGUUAAGCCACCUUCGGGUGGGAAUAAAGUGGCGAACGGCUGAGUAACACGUGGGCAACCUGCCCCUCGCACCGGGACAGCCUCGGGAAACCGUGGAUGAUACCGGAUACUCCGCCUCCCCCGCAUGGGGAGGGCGGGAAAGCCCAGACGGCGAGGGAUGGGCCCGCGGCCUGUUAGCUAGUUGGCGGGGCAGCGGCCCACCAAGGCGAUGAUGGGUAGCCGGGUUGAGAGACCGACCGGCCAGAUUGGGACUGAGACACGGCCCAGACUCCUACGGGAGGCAGCAGUGGGGAAUCUUGCACAAUGGGCGGAAGCCUGAUGCAGUGACGCCGCGUGCGGGACGAAGGCCUUCGGGCUGUAAACCGCUUUCAGCAGGGACGAGGCGAAAGUGACGGUACCUGCAGAAGAAGCCCCGGCUAACUACGUGCCAGCAGCCGCGGUAAUACGUAGGGGGCAAGCGUUAUCCGGAUUCAUUGGGCGUAAAGCGCGCGUAGGCGGCCAGCCUGGUCGGGAGUCAAAUCCGGGGGCUCAACCCCCGUCCGCUCCCGAUACCGGCCGGCUUGAGUCUGGCAGGGGAAGGCGGAAUUCCCGGUGUAGCGGUGGAAUGCGCAGAUAUCGGGAAGAACACCGGUGGCGAAGGCGGCCUUCUGGGCCACGACUGACGCUGAGGCGCGAAAGCUAGGGGAGCGAACAGGAUUAGAUACCCUGGUAGUCCUAGCCGUAA
Molecule: ribosomal RNA, 785 nt
Filed under: uncultured bacterium
Lineage: Bacteria
Description: bacterial SSU rRNA
Rfam family: Bacterial small subunit ribosomal RNA
Source: RNAcentral